Molecule: ribosomal RNA, 798 nt
Filed under: uncultured Acaulosporaceae
Lineage: Eukaryota; Fungi; Glomeromycota; Glomeromycetes; Diversisporales; Acaulosporaceae
Description: eukaryotic LSU rRNA
Rfam family: Eukaryotic large subunit ribosomal RNA
Source: RNAcentral
GUCAAGUAAGAAUACCCGCUGGACUUAAGCAUAUCAAUAAGCGGAGGAAAAGAAACUAACAAGGAUUCCCUUAGUAACGGCGAGUGAAGCGGGAAGAGCUCAAAUUUUAAAUCUCCGAGGUCUUCCUUGGCGAGUUGUAAUUUGAAGAGAGCGUUUUGACGUUCGGGUUCAAUCCAAAUCCUUUGGGAUAAGGUAUCAUAGAGGGUGAGAAUCCCGUUUAUGAUUGAAUCUCGGGUGUCGCUUAAUUCACUUUCCAAGAGUCGAGUUGUUUGGGAUUGCAGCUCAGAACGGGUGGUAAAUUUCACCUAAGGCUAAAUAUGUGCAAGAGACCGAUAGCGAACAAGUACCGUGAGGGAAAGAUGAAAAGAACUUUGAAAAGAGAGUUAAAUAGUACGUGAAAUUGUUGAAAGGGAAACGAUUGAAGUCAGUCAUGCUAGUGAGGAAUCAACCGGAUGGUGCGUGGGUUCUCCCUCGUACUUUCCGGUGCACUUUCUCACCCGGCAGGUUAGCAUCAAUUUCGGUUAUCAUAAAAAAUUUGAGAGAAUGUGGCUUUUCUUCGGGAAAGUGUUAUAGAUCUCGAUCUAUGUGGUGACCGGGAUUGAGGAUUGCAGCGGAUACCCUCGUGGCUCGUCACCUGGCUUCUGACGGUUACCCCGCUUUCGAUAGCUCGCUAACGUUAGUGGGACUCGAUCGUCUAGAUGUCAGAGUGAUUGAUUUUCGCUAAGGAUGCUGACGUAAUGGCUUUAAACGACCCGUCUUGAAACACGGACCAAGGAGUCUAACAUGUGUGCGAGUGUU